UACGAAGGGGGCUAGCGUUGUUCGGAAUCACUGGGCGUAAAGCGCACGUAGGCGGAUUGCUAAGUCAGGGGUGAAAUCCUGGAGCUCAACUCCAGAACUGCCCUUGAUACUGGCGGUCUCGAGUCCGGGAGAGGUGAGUGGAACUGCGAGUGUAGAGGUGAAAUUCGUAGAUAUUCGCAAGAACACCAGUGGCGAAGGCGGCUCACUGGCCCGGUACUGACGCUGAGGUGCGAAAGCGUGGGGAGCAAACAGG
This 253-nucleotide ribosomal RNA is filed under the name uncultured bacterium. RNAcentral's name for it is "partial 16S ribosomal RNA". It matches the Rfam family "Bacterial small subunit ribosomal RNA", at positions 524 to 776 of the family's 1533-position model. The record is from RNAcentral.